AAUGAACGUUGGCGGCGUGGAUUAGGCAUGCAAGUCGCACGAGAAAUCUUAAUUUGAAGCUUCGGUUGAUUAUUUAGAUGGAAAGUGGCGAAAGGGAGAGUAACGCGUGGACAACUUACCCCUGGGUCUGGGAUAGCUGUGGGAAACUGCAGGUAAUACCGGAUAACGUCUCCGGACCAAAGGUGUGAUUCCGCCUGGGGAUGGGUCCGCGUCCUAUUAGCUUGUUGGUGGGGUAACGGCCUACCAAGGCAAAGAUGGGUAGCGGGUGUGAGAGCAUGACCCGUCUCACUGGGACUGAGACACUGCCCAGACACCUACGGGUGGCUGCAGUCGAGAAUCUUCCGCAAUGGACGCAAGUCUGACGGAGCGACGCCGCGUGCGGGAUGAAGGCCCUCGGGUUGUAAACCGCUGUCAGUUGGGAGGAAAUGCUAUGGGGUACUCUCCAUAGUUUGACCGAUCUUCAGAGGAAGUCCGGGCUAAGUUCGUG
This 487-nucleotide ribosomal RNA is filed under the name uncultured bacterium. RNAcentral's name for it is "bacterial SSU rRNA". It matches the Rfam family "Bacterial small subunit ribosomal RNA", at positions 29 to 507 of the family's 1533-position model. The record is from RNAcentral.